Molecule: long non-coding RNA, 1305 nt
Filed under: Rattus norvegicus (Norway rat)
Lineage: Eukaryota; Metazoa; Chordata; Mammalia; Rodentia; Muridae
Description: long non-coding RNA NONRATT029703
Source: RNAcentral
UAAAACUAUUUCAGUGACUCAGAAAGAGCAAGCUACUCUCCUGACACCACAUGUUAAUAGUUUGUGAUAUUAUUAUAGUAAUCAACCAAGUAUCUACAUUGCGACCCUGCUUGUUCUACCUUGAAUGCGGUGACUAGGAGAUUGCCUCCUCUUCACCCAUUGUAAAUAACUAGAGAUAAAACAAUCCUAAUGAGGACCCACAUACUGAAAGAACUGUGUAAAAUGUAUACUCUUUUCUGUGGUAGGUACAAGCAGGGGACAAGGGAAGGAUGCCUGGACUCACACUCAUCACAGACCACUGCCUAAAGCCUUCACCUGAUUCUCUGUCUACUCCUGUAGCCACAGGCAUCCACCCGCAUUCCAGUUCCCGAAUAAUGACUCAGAAGCUUAUUAUGUAGUAUUUAAACUAGGUUUAUUCACAGACGAGUUUGUAACCUGUUUAUACUAUGCUAUGUCUGCCAAAUGGCUAGUUACCUCUCCUCUACUUCCUCCAAGUGCGGGUGGCAAAUCUUCCCACUCACCCAUCUUCCAGAGUUCCCCUCUCUACCAGAUGUCCCAUCCUCUAAUCCUGCCUCAGGUAAUAGGCCAUCAGAUAUGUAUGUGACACACAGUGCAAAAGAGAUUAUCCAGAUGUGUCUCCCUUUUGAACUAAUAAAGAGCUCUUUAUCUAGUAUCAAUAAACUAUCCACAGUAAGAACAAUUAUGAAAACUAUCAAGAAUUAUAUCCACAGUGUCCAGUCACAUGCCUUUAAGAACUGUGGGGGAAGUGCUCCAUUAUCUAUCUGGGUAAGCACCAAGUUCUGUACCUAAAUCAUUUUCUAUCGUAAUUUGCAUUACCAACCUAAAGACAUCAUCUUAGACCUUAAAUCAUUUUCUUAGAUCCUAAACAGCUUAAGUUUGAUGAGACUAUAACUAGCUAAUCUUCAAUCCUGUCAGAGACCUGAGAAGGAGAAAAUUUACCUCAAUAAAUAGAAAGUACAGAGGAAGCAGCUUUGUCUCUAUAGAAAUGGCUGAGGUUCCUGGCUAACUGGGCAGCCACCCAAGGUUCCCUGUGUCCUGUGUUGGAGCAUCAUCUUCAGCCUUCUGAAUCUCUGACGGACAUUCUGUGAAGCAGGAGUGGAAAGACUUGCCUACUUUGUCUUUACAGAGCUCAGUGAUAGACUCCCCUGCAUCCCAUUUGUCCAGAUUGGACAGCAUGCUGGCAGCAGUCAGGGCAGGGUGGUUUGGGGGCUGUUUGUCCCCCCCAGUUGUUGUUGUUGUUGUUGUUGUCCCCCGAACCCCGCCUGGCAGCAGCUUUGCCACACU